This 278-nucleotide ribosomal RNA is filed under the name uncultured cyanobacterium. RNAcentral describes it as "partial 16S ribosomal RNA". It matches the Rfam family "Bacterial small subunit ribosomal RNA", at positions 50 to 359 of the family's 1533-position model. The record is from RNAcentral. Lineage: Bacteria; Bacillati; Cyanobacteriota.
UACACAUGCAGUCGAACGGAACUUCGGGUUUAGUGGCGGACGGGUGAGUAACGCGUGAGAAUUGCCUCUAGGUCGGGGACAACAACUGGAAACGGUUGCUAAUACCCGAUGUGCAGCAAAUGUGAAAGAUUUAUUGCCUAGAGAUGAGCUCGCGUCUGAUUAGCUAGUAGGUGUGGUAAUGGCGCACCUAGGCGACGAUCAGUAACUGGUCUGAGAGGAUGACCAGUCACACUGGGACUGAGACACGGGCCAGACUCCUACGGGAGGCAGCAGUGGGG